GUUCCAGGUGAGGGGCUGGCCGGGGAGCUCACCUGCCCGGGGGGCGGGGAGGAAGCUAGGGAAAUUCCCUUCCCCAGUCUCCCUAGGCCCUGGCUCCAGCUGUCCCACCCCUGCCCAGCCAGGGCAUCUCUCCCCUCAGCUGGAGCCUGCCGCUUGCAUUAGCAUUUGCUAAAGAGAAGAUCGCACCUUAGCUCUGGCUGCAGCUUUGCAGCCCUGCCCGCCAGCAGCCCCCUACCUGGGAAGGGCAGGAAUAAAGCUCUGCCUCAAGUCUCCCUGUUUCAUCAAUAGGCGGCAGAGUAAGCUAGGCACUACUGGGAAACGCUUAGAAGGGAAGCCAAGAGAGGACUGGAGCCCUACUCGCGUGCACGUUCGCUCGCUCUCUUUUUCGGCGGUUACACGAGAUGUGGCCUGACUUUGUUGGACGUUCCUACUUUACACCUCUGAUGCCUGCUGGAACUAACAAGGACUGUACCGGGGAAAGGAUUGGGCCCAGACUAGUCUGUGAAAGAAGCUUAUUGGAACAUCUCUGAGGAACAAGUACAGGAGGAGAGUAAGCUUCAUCUCAAUGCUCCACCCAUAUGCCUCAACUCGCAGUGGGAGAGGAUCAUUUCCAGAGAAUAAGAAGGCUGAUCAGUCUUCAUGCUCAUUUGGCCUUCGUCCCGUUCCCCUCCACCCAUCAAAAGUGACAACAGCAUUGCUAACAAAUGCAAGUUUUCAUGUGGGGUUUUUGUGCUGUGGACACAUGUCCAGCUGGAAGUGAACUGGGAUCACCAAACUCAUUUCACACAGGCUAAAUAGCCAUCGGAUGGUAAUAACAUUCCCUCACUGUCAUUAUAUACUGAAUUAGAACUGGAAAGCUAGAGGUGAAUGUUUUUAGAUCCUGGGGUCAAUCUCUUGAGUCAUUCAUUGAUCUCAUGUGUAUCUUCUCUUUCAUUUGUCAGAGAGAAUAUGCCCCAUCCUCCACAAUGGGCAUCAUUUCUGUAUAGGGAAAAGUGAACGCAUCAAGUGUCAACUCAGAAUUCACCUGGCAUUCUUCCACUGGGGGAGGGGAGUGGACUCAUAUGUUUCCCACUUACAGAAAAGUUUUGACCCACUGACUUCCAUGGUAUUAUCAUGGAGGAAGGCAAUAUUGAACAUGCGUGAAGGUAUCAGAAUCUGGCAUUUAAUAUGUGAUAUCAAACAUAUGUUAGUAAUAUUGAAUAUUUAAAUCCAAAUUUAAUAUACAGUAUGCAUAUUAGUAUCAAAAUACUGCAUCACAAAAAGUGAAAUGUGGAAAGAUCGCCUUGUGGAUCCUGUUGUAUAUUUUAUUAUAAAACAAUUAUAAUCAUGAAUUUCUGUUUUUAUUAGAGAUAUGUAAGAUUAUACAGUUGUUUUUGAAAUUCAAAAGGUUUUAUUUAUCAUGAAGCCAAAAAUUAAUACAAAUGAUAGUUUGCAUGCUAAAACAGAACUCUGAACUGUGAAACAUCUUGCCCUGUUUAUAUACAUUUGUAAAUUGUAUGCAUUUAU
Long non-coding RNA from Chrysemys picta bellii (western painted turtle), 1506 nucleotides. RefSeq lists it as uncharacterized. Lineage: Eukaryota; Metazoa; Chordata; Testudines; Emydidae. The record is from RefSeq and is a predicted model, not a curated record.